UGUGGGAGCACAAGUGAAGGUAAUUCAGCUGUGCUCCUGGAAGGGGUGGAGAUUGGCUCUCCUAGAUCCCAUUUAAGGGCUGACCACCCUUAAAUGUACUAAGGUAGCAUCUUUUUCUGGAGAUUGCUUCUUUUUGGAGUUUUUUGUGGUGAGCCUCAACAUAGGCAAGCAUCCAUCUUGACUGAAAGCCUCAGCAUUGGUGAGUCUUUGCUUAGAUAUCCUCUGGCUAUAUAUUUACUCUAAUUACAACUAUACCCUUGUAUUAUUCCAACUGUACACUCUCUUUUUUUACCAUCAGCUCUUGAGAACCAUUCAAGACAAGUAUAAACUGAGCAUAAAUAGGGCCAUGUAACAUGAAAGUGCUAAUAUUUCCCGUAUGCACAGUAAAAUCUUUCCUGUUCCUUUCUAAGAGACGCUAAUAUACUUUCAGUUACUUCUCAUGAGCCAUUACAGCUACUUAACUCCAGACACCAUGAAAUUGUGAUGAAGUUGCUCCCUGUGUAUUUACAGAAAACCAAUGACACAUACAGCUUCCUGUUAAAUUGCUUAAGUAACUUCGCAGUAAAUUUUAUUUCUUUAAAUCCAAAGACUUAUGUUCUCAUGCUGUAUUACAUAUUUAGUGUCAGCCUACAACAGUGACAAUGUAUGAACACAUGAGGUGGGAGGAGUGUGCUCAGCAUUGCUAGAACUGUGAAUACAAAAACAUCAGAAGAAAACAAAAAUGUGCAGAUACUUUCAACAGAUCAGAAGCAUAUGCAAAUAACCUUCCCACAGUUUAUGGAUGAGGUUUUUUUCAGUAUUAUUCAACUUCUACAAUCAAUAGAAUGUAUUCUCUUACAAUAGUUUUUUCUUAGCUUACAUACUCUGUCAGACCCUCCUUUACAAUGCAAAGAGACUACCUUGGCAGAGAGACCUUUGUUUUUCAUUUCUGUAAUCUACUCUGCAUUCCAUGUGAGCAAGUAUUGCCAGUUCCAAUCAUUCCCUCUGUUGCUUUGCCUUUAAUUUUUUGUUUCUGAUUGACUCCAUCUCCUUUACAGGAAAUCAAGAGUUGUAUACAGGGAUAUACUGAACAAAGUGCUACUCCUCACCUUGCAUUAAAAGGCAGCUGCAACUGGGAGUGCCUCUGGCUACUUCAUAACUCAAGGAAUCAGUGAGGAGCCACAUUUCAUCAAUGAAGGCAGCUCUAAUUUUGACAGAGACUUCUAGAAACAUCCUCUAAUGGAGUCAGCCUCACAACUGAGAAAGCCCUAGGCACUGGCAGAAAGCUUGGCGGGCCAAGGUAAGAAAAAAGACUGGUCUUCAACUGCAUGCUUAAGUUAGAAGAAGAACACGGGAAAGGAAGAAGCAGGCUGCUCUACAGCUACAGCUAACAAGUGAGGAUAUGAGAAAGAAGAGACCAACUGUUCUCACCAACAAACUGAUGUACCCACACUACUGCCUGCUAGGAGAAAGGAAUGUUCAGAAUGGACAGUGUACAAAGGAAAAGUUCAGGUAGCACAGUGUGUCAUGGAAAACAUAGAGAUAUUCACUCACAGACAGCAACCACUGAUAAAAUACAGGC
This is a non-coding RNA of Coturnix japonica (Japanese quail), 1561 nucleotides long. NCBI's taxonomy places the organism in Eukaryota, Metazoa, Chordata, Aves, Galliformes, Phasianidae. The record is from RefSeq and is a predicted model, not a curated record.